RNAcentral lists this ribosomal RNA (429 nucleotides) under uncultured bacterium. RNAcentral describes it as "bacterial SSU rRNA". It matches the Rfam family "Bacterial small subunit ribosomal RNA", at positions 355 to 776 of the family's 1533-position model. The record is from RNAcentral.
UGGGGAAUAUUGGACAAUGGGGGAAACCCUGAUCCAGCGAUGCCGCGUGUGUGAAGAAGGCCUGAGGGUUGUAAAGCACUUUUGUUGGGGAGGAGAAGGUGUAGUUUAAGAGAUGACACCUGAGACGUUACCCAAAGAAAAAGCACCGGCUAACUCCGUGCCAGCAGCCGCGGUAAUACGGAGGGUGCAAGCGUUAAUCGGAAUAAUUGGGCGUAAAGAGCGCGUAGGUGGUUUGCUAUGUGGGUUGUGAAAGACUUGGGCUUAACCUGGGGAUGUCAACUCAAACGGGCAGACUAGAGUACAGUAGAGGGUCGUGGAAUUUCCGGUGUAGCGGUGAAAUGCGUAGAGAUCGGAAGGAACACCAGUGGCGAAGGCGACGACCUGGGCUGAAACUGACACUGAGGUGCGAAAGCGUGGGGAGCAAACAGG